Molecule: ribosomal RNA, 1382 nt
Filed under: Azotobacter beijerinckii
Lineage: Bacteria; Pseudomonadati; Pseudomonadota; Gammaproteobacteria; Pseudomonadales; Pseudomonadaceae
Description: bacterial SSU rRNA
Rfam family: Bacterial small subunit ribosomal RNA
Source: RNAcentral
UCUAAGAAUAGGGGACAACGUUUCGAAAGGAACGCUAAUACCGCAUACGUCCUACGGGAGAAAGUGCUCGCGGACCUCACGCUAUCCCAUAUGGACUAGCCUAGGUCGGCAUUUAUAGCUAGUUGGUGGGGUAAAGGCCCCGAUCCGUAACUGGUCUGAGAGGAUGAUNNGUCACACUGGAACUGAGACACGGUCCAGACUCCUACGGGAGGCAGCAGUGGGGAAUAUUGGACAAUGGGCGAAAGCCUGAUCCAGCCAUGCCGCGUGUGUGAAGAAGGUCUUCGGAUUGUAAAGCACUUUAAGUUGGGAGGAAGGGCUGUAAGCGAAUACCUUGCAGUUUUGACGUUACCGACAGAAUAAGCACCGGCUAACUUCGUGCCAGCAGCCGCGGUAAUACGAAGGGUGCAAGCGUUAAUCGGAAUUUACUGGGCGUAAAGCNNGCGUAGGUGGUUUGGUAAGUUGGAUGUGAAAGCCCCGGGCUCAACCUGGGAACUGCAUCCAANNCUGCCUGACUAGAGUACGGUAGAGGGUGGUGGAAUUUCCUGUGUAGCUUGGUGAAACGUAGAUAUAGGAAGGAACACCAGUGGCGAAGGCGACCACCUGGACUGAUACUGACACUGAGGUGCGAAAGCGUGGGGAGCAAACUAUUAUAGAUACCCUGGUAGUCNACGCCGUAAAGUAUGUCGACUAGCCGUUGGGCUCCUUGAGAGCUUAGUGGCGCAGCUAACGCAUUAAGUCGACCGCCUGGGGAGUACGGCCGCAAGGUUAAAACUCAAAUGAAUUGACGGGGGCCCGCACAAGCGGCUAUAGGCAUGUGGUUAUUAAUUCGAAGCAACGCGACCUUACCUGGCCUUGACAUCCUGCGAACUGGAAGAUACCUGGGUGCCUUCGGGAGCGCAGAGACAGGUGCUGCAUGGCUGUCGUCAGCUCGUGUCGUGAGAUGUUGGGUUAAGUCCCGUAACGAGCGCAACCCUUGUCCUUAGUUACCAGCACGUCAUGGUGGGCACUCUAAGGAGACUGCCGGUGUUUAGCCGGAGGAAGGUGGGGAUGACGUCAAGUCAUCAUGGCCCUUACGGCCAGGGCUACACACGUGCUACAAUGGUCGGUACAGAGGGUUGCCAAGUCGCGAGGCGGAGCUAAUCCCAGAAAACCGAUCGUAGUCCGGAUCGCAGUCUGCAACUCGACUGCGUGAAGUCGGAAUCGCUAGUAAUCGCAAAUCAGAAUGUCGCGGUGAAUACGUUCCCGGGCCUUGUACACACCGCCCGUCACACCAUGGGAGUGGGUUGCUCCAGAAGUAGCUAGUCUAACCUUCGGGGGGACGGUUACCACGGAGUGAUUCAUGACUGGGGUGAAGUCGUAACAAGGUAGUCGGCGAACCAAUG